RNAcentral lists this ribosomal RNA (1516 nucleotides) under uncultured Weissella sp. RNAcentral's name for it is "bacterial SSU rRNA". It matches the Rfam family "Bacterial small subunit ribosomal RNA". Lineage: Bacteria; Bacillati; Bacillota; Bacilli; Lactobacillales; Lactobacillaceae. The record is from RNAcentral.
GAUGAACGCUGGCGGCGUGCCUAAUACAUGCAAGUCGAACGCUUUGUGGUUCAACUGAUUUGAAGAGCUUGCUCAGAUAUGACGAUGGACAUUGCAAAGAGUGGCGAACGGGUGAGUAACACGUGGGAAACCUACCUCUUAGCAGGGGAUAACAUUUGGAAACAGAUGCUAAUACCGUAUAACAAUGACAACCGCAUGGUUGUUAUUUAAAAGAUGGUUCUGCUAUCACUAAGAGAUGGUCCCGCGGUGCAUUAGCUAGUUGGUAAGGUAAUGGCUUACCAAGGCGAUGAUGCAUAGCCGAGUUGAGAGACUGAUCGGCCACAAUGGGACUGANACACGGCCCAUACUCCUACGGGAGGCAGCAGUAGGGAAGCUUCCACAAUGGGCGAAAGCCUGAUGGAGCAACGCCGCGUGUGUGAUGAAGGGUUUCGGCUCGUAAAACACUGUUGUAAGAGAAGAAUGACAUUGAGAGUAACUGUUCAAUGUGUGACGGUAUCUUACCAGAAAGGAACGGCUAAAUACGUGCCAGCAGCCGCGGUAAUACGUAUGUUCCAAGCGUUAUCCGGAUUUAUUGGGCGUAAAGCGAGCGCAGACGGUUAUUUAAGUCUGAAGUGAAAGCCCUCAGCUCAACUGAGGAAUUGCUUUGGAAACUGGAUGACUUGAGUGCAGUAGAGGAAAGUGGAACUCCAUGUGUAGCGGUGAAAUGCGUAGAUAUAUGGAAGAACACCAGUGGCGAAGGCGGCUUUCUGGACUGUAACUGACGUUGAGGCUCGAAAGUGUGGGUAGCAAACAGGAUUAGAUACCCUGGUAGUCCACACCGUAAACGAUGAGUGCUAGGUGUUUGAGGGUUUCCGCCCUUAAGUGCCGCAGCUAACGCAUUAAGCGCUCCGCCUGGGGAGUACGACCGCAAGGUUGAAACUCAAAGGAAUUGACGGGGACCCGCACAAGCGGUGGAGCAUGUGGUUUAAUUCGAAGCAACGCGAAGAACCUUACCAGGUCUUGACAUCCCUUGACAACUCCAGAGAUGGAGCGUUCCCUUCGGGGACAAGGUGACAGGUGGUGCAUGGUUGUCGUCAGCUCGUGUCGUGAGAUGUUGGGUUAAGUCCCGCAACGAGCGCAACCCUUAUUACUAGUUGCCAGCAUUCAGUUGGGCACUCUAGUGAGGCUGCCGGUGACAAACCGGAGGAAGGUGGGGAUGACGUCAAAUCAUCAUGCCCCUUAUGACCUGGGCUACACACGUGCUACAAUGGCGUAUACAACGAGUUGCCAACCCGCGAGGGUGAGCUAAUCUCUUAAAGUACGUCUCAGUUCGGAUUGUAGGCUGCAACUCGCCUACAUGAAGUCGGAAUCGCUAGUAAUCGNGGAUCAGCACGCCGCGGUGAAUACGUUCCCGGGUCUUGUACACACCGCCCGUCACACCAUGAGAGUUUGUAACACCCAAAGCCGGUGGGGUAACCUUCGGGAGCCAGCCGUCUAAGGUGGGACAGAUGAUUAGGGUGAAGUCGUAACAAGGUAG